Long non-coding RNA from Trifolium pratense (red clover), 531 nucleotides. RefSeq lists it as uncharacterized. NCBI's taxonomy places the organism in Eukaryota, Viridiplantae, Streptophyta, Magnoliopsida, Fabales, Fabaceae. The transcript has 2 exons. The record is from RefSeq and is a predicted model, not a curated record.
CUGGUGCUCUAUUAACCAUUAGAUAUUUCUUUGAAUUAUUACCAUGUCACAAUCUCUUUUCACUCCAUUUGUUGUGUUGUUCUUGUUCUAAACAACUUAUAAACAUAGAAUAUCUGCAAAAGAAUAGUAUUCAUCUUCAUUAUUUCAUAUCUAAAUUGUUGCAGUAAUCAUUUUGGCUUGUUUAACCCCUUGCAGUGGUUGACUCGACGACAAGCACACUAAGUGCGUGCCCAACAGGGUAUCCCUGUGUCUGAAUAUGGGGGACUUCUUGAAAACGUGAAAGAUGGUUGCUUGGUUUGGCAAUUGGCGGAGGAUUUGCUUAGGUUAAUUAGUUUGUCUUGUUAUAAUUAGUGUCAUGAACAUCAUCUAGUGAGUUAGGAUAAUUAGUUUGUUUUUAUCUUGGACACAAAGUUGUCUUGCUUCUUUGUAUGUUUUGUGAAGGAUGGGAGACUCAUGUAACUUGAUGGUACUUAUUGGCCUUCUUUGUGCCUUUUUAUAUCUUUAUCAAUAUAAUUUUUGUCUUUUGUAUUA